RNAcentral lists this ribosomal RNA (324 nucleotides) under Triticum aestivum (bread wheat). Its description in RNAcentral is "partial small subunit ribosomal RNA". The record is from RNAcentral. Lineage: Eukaryota; Viridiplantae; Streptophyta; Magnoliopsida; Poales; Poaceae.
AUGGCGGUGCACGACGGCGUUAUCUUUGCAAGCUUGAGAGGUUUAUCAAACGUCAUCUUGAAGACGAAGGUCGCCAACCUCUGGACCACUCGCUACGACUCUCGCUCGAUCGUGUCUCCUAUCUUAUUAGAAAUUGGAGAGCUUGCUGCUAGUUUCAAUUCUUUUGUUAUUCGUCAUAUUGUAAGAUCAGCCAAUGGUCCUGCUCACAUAUGUGUUAAGCAUGCUUGCACGAUUGACGUGACUGAAAGCUGGAUCGAUAGUACUCCUGGCUUCUUGAUCAGUAGCCGGUUGACGGAUUGUUUGGCGAACGCUUUUAUUAAAUAA